Molecule: ribosomal RNA, 981 nt
Filed under: Triticum aestivum (bread wheat)
Lineage: Eukaryota; Viridiplantae; Streptophyta; Magnoliopsida; Poales; Poaceae
Description: partial small subunit ribosomal RNA
Source: RNAcentral
AUGGAUUUGAACAUGAUGCCUCAAGAGGAAGACGAUGAAGGUAUUAAUUUGAAUUUGAUGCCUCAAGAGGAGGAACCUCAAGUGGCAGAGAAUGUAGUUAUGGAUUUGAACUUGAUGCCUCAAGAGGAAGACGAUGAAGAUAUGAAUUGGAUGCCUCAAGAAGAUGAAGGGAAAGAGGAUGAAGCUCAAGAGGAAGAGGAUGAAGUUAUGAAUUGGAUACUUCAAGAGAAGAGAAGAGAAUUGUCAGAUAAGGAGAGGCAUGGUGUUUACUUUGCCUUGCUGGUAAUCGAGCUCAGAGAUGGGUCUGUUCAACCAGACGACAAGCUGCUAGUCUCAAACCUGUUGGACAUAAGUGUACGAUCUGUUGAAAGAAUCUGGGAAGAGGCUAAAAAGCAAAUUGCCGAUGGCAAAGAAGUAGAUGUCUCAAGCAAGAAGCCAGGAAGAUCCGGCAGAAAGAGAAAGGAGCUAGAUCUAGAGAGGACCUCAACAAUCCCACUGAAUAAAAGAAGAACAAUUCGAUCUCUGGCACGGUCUCUAGGUGUGGCCCGAUCGACCCUACAUAAGAGGUUCCAGUUGAAUGAGCUCAACCGCAUCACAAGCACCGUGAAGCCUCAUCUCAAGCUAGAGAACAAGCUUGCGAGAUUGAAAUUUUGUAUGUCCAUGGUCGAUGACAAUUCGAUCUCAACUUCUCGGACUAUGUUAAAACCAAUGACGAAUAUGGUUCACAUUGAUGAGAAGUGGUUUGAUAUGACGAGAGUGAAGAAUAGUUACUAUGUACUUCCAGGAGAACCUGAACCGAAGUGCACCGUGUCAAACACUCACAGCAUUGGGAAGGUGAUGUUCCUAACAGCUGUUGCCAAGCCUCGAUAUAACAAUGAGGGGGAGCUAACAUUCGAUGGGAAGAUCGGCAUUUGGGCAUUCGUCGAAGAGACUGAGGCGAAGCGGACAAGUCAGAACAGAACAAAGGGAACAAAGUGUUGA